Long non-coding RNA from Ailuropoda melanoleuca (giant panda), 628 nucleotides. RefSeq lists it as uncharacterized. The record is from RefSeq and is a predicted model, not a curated record. The transcript has 4 exons. NCBI's taxonomy places the organism in Eukaryota, Metazoa, Chordata, Mammalia, Carnivora, Ursidae.
GGGGAGGACUGGAUUCUAUUUCUGCUGAGAAAUUUACCAAAUGUGUGCUCAGAAGAACCUGGUUUGGUACUAUUUUCCUGAGAGCAUCUGUGUUUUAGUGAGCAGUCCUGGCUGGGAAGAAAGCCUGAGUUCAAACAAGCUCCCAAGAUGCGUCUGUGUUGAUUUGCCUCAUGCCUGCCCAUGAUGCCCUCCCAUGAUGCACCGGAACAGGUGAGGAUAUUGAGGCAGAAGGAGGUGAAGUGACUUGCUCAAGGUCAUAACCUGGAAGUGGUCAAGUUGGAAUUCAGUUUACAAAGAAGAGCUUUACAGGAAAAAAGACAAUUAUGUAGCUGCCGCCCCAGCCUAUCUCUUCUUCAUCCUGCUCAGUGUCUGAAGGUCUGGUGGAGCACUUGGAUGCCUGCGGAAACCGAUGCCGUUGAUACAUGUCAUCUCCUCUGCAUGCCAGUUGGCCAGGCAGCCUGGGCCGUGCAGGCCGCGCAGGCGGCCCCUGACAGUCCCCUGACGGAGUGGUGAGUAGCGUGAGACAGCCGUUUGCUUUGAAGCUGAUCGCAGUGCCGCCAAUGCUUUGUCACCUGUCUAAAACUGCACUGCUUUGUUAAUCGGACUGUCAUUCAUUGAGGGGCCGUGG